CCUACGGGGUGCUGCAGUGAGGAAUAUUGGUCAAUGGCCGAGAGGCUGAACCAGCCAAGUCGCGUGAGGGAAGACGGCCCUACGGGUUGUAAACCUCUUUUAUCGGGGAGCAAAGCGAGUCACGUGUGACUCAUUGAGAGUACCCGAAGAAAAAGCAUCGGCUCAAUCCGUGCCAGGAGCCGCGGUAAUACGGGGGGUCCGGGCGUUAUCAGGAUUUAGUGGGGUUAAAGGGAUCGUAGGCCGCAUGUCAAGAGUGCUGUGAAAUGUCCGGGCUCAACCCGGGCCUUGCAGCGCGAACUGGCGUGCUUGAGUCCGCGGAAAGCAGGCGGAAUGCGUCGUGUAGCGGUGAAAUGCUUAGAUAUGACGAAGAACCCCGAUUGCGAAGGCAGCUGGCUGCAGCGGAACUGACGCUGAUGCUCGAAAGCGCGGGUAUCGAACAGGAUUAGAUACCCCAGUAGUC
RNAcentral lists this ribosomal RNA (460 nucleotides) under uncultured bacterium. RNAcentral describes it as "partial 16S ribosomal RNA". It matches the Rfam family "Bacterial small subunit ribosomal RNA", at positions 338 to 795 of the family's 1533-position model. The record is from RNAcentral.